GACGAACGCUGGCGGCGUGCUUAACACAUGCAAGUCGAACGGAAAGGCCCGGCUUUUGUGGGGUGCUCGAGUGGCGAACGGGUGAGUAACACGUGAGUAACCUGCCCUUGACUUUGGGAUAACUUCAGGAAACUGGGGCUAAUACCGGAUAGGAGCUACUGCUGCAUGGUGGGGGUUGGAAAGUUUCGGCGGUUGGGGAUGGACUCGCGGCUUAUCAGCUUGUUGGUGGGGUAGUGGCUUACCAAGGCUUUGACGGGUAGCCGGCCUGAGAGGGUGACCGGCCACACUGGGACUGAGAGACGGCCCAGACUCCUACGGGAGGCAGCAGUGGGGAAUAUUGCACAAUGGGCGGAAGCCUGAUGCAGCAACGCCGCGUGCGGGAUGACGGCCUUCGGGUUGUAAACCGCUUUCGCCUGUGACGAAGCGUAAGUGACGGUAAUGGGAAAAGAAGCACCGGCUAACUACGUG
RNAcentral lists this ribosomal RNA (468 nucleotides) under uncultured bacterium. RNAcentral describes it as "partial 16S ribosomal RNA". It matches the Rfam family "Bacterial small subunit ribosomal RNA", at positions 28 to 507 of the family's 1533-position model. The record is from RNAcentral.